RNAcentral lists this ribosomal RNA (844 nucleotides) under uncultured bacterium. RNAcentral describes it as "bacterial SSU rRNA". It matches the Rfam family "Bacterial small subunit ribosomal RNA", at positions 60 to 914 of the family's 1533-position model. The record is from RNAcentral.
AGUCGAACGGUGGUAGCAAUACCAUAGUGGCGCACGGGUGCGUAACACGUAACUAACCUACCUAUAACUGGGGGAUAGCCCGCCGAAAGGCGGAUUAAUACCGCAUAAGCUGUGAGGAUGGCAUCAUCCUUUUAGUAAAGAUUUAUUGGUUAUAGAUGGGGUUGCGGGUCAUUAGCUAGUUGGUAAGGUAACGGCUUACCAAGGCGACGAUGACUAGGGGAGCUGAGAGGCUGGUCCCCCACACGGGCACUGAGAUACGGGCCCGACUCCUACGGGAGGCAGCAGUAGGGAAUAUUGGGCAAUGGACGAGAGUCUGACCCAGCCAUGCCGCGUGCAGGAAGAAGGCUUUCUGAGUCGUAAACUGCUUUUGACAGGGAAGAAUAAGCGCUACGUGUAGCGUGAUGACGGUACCUGCAGAAUAAGCACCGGCUAACUCCGUGCCAGCAGCCGCGGUAAUACGGAGGGUGCGAGCGUUGUCCGGAUUUAUUGGGUUUAAAGGGUGCGUAGGCGGCUUUUUAAGUCUGGGGUGAAAGCCCGCUGCUCAACAGCGGAACUGCCCUGGAUACUGGAGAGCUUGAGUACAGACGAGGUUGGCGGAAUGGACUGAGUAGCGGUGAAAUGCAUAGAUACAGUCCAGAACCCCGAUUGCGAAGGCAGCUGACUAGGCUGUUACUGACGCUGAGGCACGAAAGCGUGGGGAGCGAACAGGAUUAGAUACCCUGGUAGUCCACGCCGUAAACGAUGGAUACUCGCUGCGAGCUAAAGAUUGUUCGUGGCUUAGGGAAACCGAUAAGUAUCCCACCUGGGGAGUACGCUCGCAAGAGUGAAACUCAAAGGAAUUGAC